CAUACGGGUUGAAGCAUGACCGUAAGGACAUGUGGACAGUAUGGGAGUGAGAAUGUUGGCAUGAGUAGCGAGAUGUGGGUGAGAAUCCCACAGGCCGUAAACCCAAGGUUUCCAGGGGAAGGUUCGUCCGCCCUGGGUUAGUCGGGACCUAAGCUGAGGCCGAAAGGCGUAGGUGAUGGACAACAGGUUGAUAUUCCUGUACUACCGAUAACCGUUUGAGAGAAGGGAUGACACAGUAGGAUAAGCUAAGCACACUGUUGGUUAUGUGUGCCCAAGCAUUGAGGCAGUCAAAGCAGGCAAAUCCGCUUUGAUAAUGCUGGGAUGUGAUGGGGAGCGAAAUUUAGUAGCGAAGUAGCUGAUUUCACACUGUCAAGAAAAGUCUCUAUCGAGGUUAAAGGUACCCGUACCGCAAACCGACACAGGUGGGUGAGGAGAGUAUCCUAAGGCCAGCGAGAGAACUGUUGUUAAGGAACUCGGCAAAAUGACCCCGUAACUUAGGGAUAAGGGGUGCCACCAUCCGGUGGCCGCAGAGAAUAGGCCCAAGCGACUGUUUACCAAAAACAUAGGUUUCUGCUAAGUCGCAAGACGAUGUAUAGGAGCUGACGCCUGCCCGGUGCUGGAAGGUUAAGGGGAUCUGUUAGAGCAAUCGAAGCAGUGAACUUAAGCCCCAGUAAACGGCGGCCGUAACUAUAACGGUCCUAAGGUAGCGAAAUUCCUUGUCGGGUAAGUUCCGACCCGCACGAAAGGCGUAACGAUUUGGGCACUGUCUCAACAACAGACUCGGUGAAAUUGUAAUUCCGGUGAAGAUGCCGGAUACCUGCGACAGGACGGAAAGACCCCAUGGAGCUUUACUGUAGCUUGACAUUGGGUCUUGGUACUACAUGUACAGGAUAGGUGGGAGGCUUUGAAACCAGGACGCCAGUUUUGGCGGAGCCAUCCUUGGGAUACCACCCUUGUAGUACUGGGACUCUAACCAUAGGCCAUGAAUCUGGUCUUGGGACACUGUCAGGUGGGCAGUUUGACUGGGGCGGUCGCCUCCCAAAAGGUAACGGAGGCGCUCAAAGGUUCUCUCAGUACGGUCGGAAAUCGUACGUAGAGUGUAAAGGCAAAAGAGAGCUUGAUUGCAAGACAUACAGGUCGAGCAAGGAUGAAAAUCGGACUUAGUGAUCCGGUGGUUCUGCGUGGAAGGGCCAUCGCUCAACGGAUAAAAGCUACCCUGGGGAUAACAGGCUUAUCUCCCCCAAGAGUCCACAUCGACGGGGAGGUUUGGCACCUCGAUGUCGGCUCAUCACAUCCUGGGGCUGUAGUAGGUCCCAAGGGUUGGGCUGUUCGCCCAUUAAAGUGGUACGCGAGCUGGGUUCAGAACGUCGUGAGACAGUUCGGUCCCUAUCCGUCGCAGGCGUAGGAAAUUUGAGAAGACCUGUCCUUAGUACGAGAGGACCGGGAUGGACGUACCUCUGGUGUACCAGUUGUUCUGCC
This 1479-nucleotide ribosomal RNA is filed under the name Clostridioides difficile. RNAcentral's name for it is "partial 23S ribosomal RNA". It matches the Rfam family "Bacterial large subunit ribosomal RNA", at positions 1242 to 2730 of the family's 2925-position model. The record is from RNAcentral. Lineage: Bacteria; Bacillati; Bacillota; Clostridia; Peptostreptococcales; Peptostreptococcaceae.